This is a long non-coding RNA of Triticum dicoccoides, 3779 nucleotides long. RefSeq lists it as uncharacterized. Lineage: Eukaryota; Viridiplantae; Streptophyta; Magnoliopsida; Poales; Poaceae. The transcript has 2 exons. The record is from RefSeq and is a predicted model, not a curated record.
CCCGCUCCGCCCCGCCCGGCGCUGCCGUACACCGCCGCCGCGCCUACCCCUGCCUCCUGCUCCUGCUACCAUGGCACCGCCAGGACUCCUCCCCACUGCUUCCACCUCGACAAUGGUUUCCCCAACCCCGCCGGCUUCGCCACCAGCCACUCCUUCAUCCACAAUAAUCAUAGGAGACAGCUACACGGGCGAGCCUACGAGCAAGACCUCGACGGCGCUGGCGGUGGAAGACCGCGGAUGUGAGGGCGCUUGGAAGGCCGCGGUGCCGCGAUUAAGUCAUGAGGACCGCGGCGGCAGCAGUCAAAAUCUUCAUGAAGUCUCUCCGCUUACCCUCCCUCGGUCUGAUUUCUCUCCAAUCUUUGAAUCCCCUCAGUUUGAACUAAUGCCAUGUAUUUUCAGAACAGUUAGUGAAUCAUUUGUCAGUUGAAAGAUGGUUGAUGCACCAAAAAAGAUUGUAUUGAUUCAAUCUGGAAAAGUCAAGAUCACAAUAGCUUUCAGAACAAUUAGUGAAUCAUUUGUCAGUUGAAAGAUGGUUGAUGCACCAAAAAAGAUUGUAUUGAUUCAAUCUGGAAAAGUCAAGAUCACAAUAGCAAUUACAUAUGCAUUUGUUGGGCCAAAAGUAGCAGUUACAUAUGCAUUUAGUUAAUCUUUUGGCCUAUCACCGUUUCAUGCAUUUUUGGUGGACUUUCAUUUGACCUUGAGUGUUGACUUGCUUUUCUGUUGCUAACAAUGUCCGGCUUGCCGAAUGUACUUGCUUAUCCUUGUACUGGAGUACCAUUGAUUCACCAUAUACACACUUUCCAAUUCUGUCUGUUUACUAUCUAGGAGUCAGACCAUGGCUGCACGGAGCAGGUCCACCCACUAGGGGCUGGCCGCUGUGUCCGCCAUGAGGAUUCCUGCACUAAGCCUUGCCGGCGUUCCCGGCCACCAAGGUACUUCUACUUAUGUGUCUCUAUAAGAUUCCUGCAUAUGUUUUUGUGCUUUCCACUUAAUGCAUUGUUAGCUCUAUGUUACACUUCUUUUAGGUUCUUCCUGCUCCAGGAUUUUCUUUGUGCGAAAAUCAAUAUACAUAGGCAUAUUUGCCCAUGAAGCUGCUCUGGUUUUUCUUUUAGAGUUUACUCCCAUUUACUUGUGUCGUUAUACAAUAAUAACAGAAUUGAUAUCGAUUAAACUUCUUUGAGUUUCUUGAAAUUUAAUGAUUUCCCAUGGAAUAUGAAGUUUGAGAAUGACACCUGCUGAGCUGAAAAUAAUCUAGCGAGCAAUAGUAUAAUGAAUAGUUAUUACCGUAUCGGCAUCACAUUGCUCAUGGGUGAAUAACACAACAAUAAACUAGAAAAAUGGAAAUGCUCUGUUUGGUUUGGGUACCAUGCAGGAAAGUAGUUAACAGAGAUAGACUAUUUGACAGUUGCAGAGUGACACCACCACCACAUAUGAAGCAGAGAGUUUGUAAAGAGACACUAAAUAAUCAUCUGGAGUGAGACACUAAUUGCUUUCUUGUGUAGUGAAGACGAUCUUUUUUGGGGUGUAAUAUAACUAUGGCAGCUCUCUGGAGUGAGAAUGUCGAGGCCCUAAAAAACAGCCAUCGACACGGAGUUCCUGCCAUUAAGGAUAAAAAAGCUAGCAGAGAAACAGCUUGGGGAAUCACAAGCUUAUCUUGCCUUUUGAAUGUGCAGCCUGUAACCAGAGAAGCUUGUUCUAAUUAUUGUAUGCUUAUUUUCCCCGAGCUGUUUCUCUGCUAACUAUUAUUCUCAAGCAACUACCAAACUAUGGAUAGAAGAAGUCUUAACAUGGAGCUAUUCUUUACCUAAUAAUAAAGAGAAUUGGGUUUCUGCCGUCCGUCGUUCGCUUUUGCAAAAAGACCCUUCUCUUUUUCGGAAAUUGAACCCGCACUCUCUACCGCACUCCCUACGUAAGUGGCUCUGGGGAAAACGAUUCGGUAAAAAAAAUCCCUUUCGCGUAUCCUCUGUUUCUUGGUAUUCAGACCGGCAGUUGGAGGCGGCCACGGCGAACGGGGUGGACGAGGUGGCGGAGCAGGGGCCCCGGCGAGUGGGGAGCUGGAGGCACAGCGCAUCCCGGCACUGCACAGGGACUACGAGCCGGCGGCGCACCUGUCACCAACCAGCGCAGACCCCGAGGCCGUGCGGACGAGGAAGGAGAGAAUCAGGAUGAGGAGGAUGUCGCUGCGGCAGCGAAGGUAGCCAGCAGCCUGAUGAAGCAUCUACGGCCCAGCUUCUCCGGUGCGCCAUCCGGAGAUGGGACGGACGGAUCGAGGCGAAGGAUGAUGGAGAGGUGGUCGGAGGCGGCGAGCUCCAAGGCAGGCGGGCUGCUGCGGUUCCAGAUGGACGACGGCUUCGCGGGCGGCUGGGCCGAAUCAGCUGCCGUGGCCCAAGCGGCGGACGAACGGGCGCUCCUCUCGUCGUCCUCCUCCCAACGGCAGGCCAGUCAGGCGGCAGGAGCUUCUCCGUUCUGCUUGGCGACCUCAAGGUCCCGCUCUUCGGGGCGCUGCUCCAGCGGGGGCCGGCGUGGUUUGAGGACGUGCUGCGGGCGCCGAUGGCUACCGCGCCCCGGAGGUGGUGGACGCGCGGCGACACUCUCUGGGCGUGCUCUUGCUGGAGCUCCUCAACGGCAAGUCCCUGACGCACGCGUCGCUGCAGGAUGGUGACGGCAGCACGCUGGACCUGCCGCGGUUGGUGCAGUCGGUGGUGCGCGAGGAGUGCACGGCCGAGGUGAUUGGCGUGGAGCUGGUGCGGCUAGGCGCCGCGCCGAGGAGAAGAUGGACUCGCUACCGCAGGCACCGGCGAAGCUACGACAGCGAGCUUCAGUUAUCUGAAUUUUCGGUUCAGUGUCCACAACAGCGAGCUUCAAUUAUCUGAAUUUUCAGUGCAGUGUCGUGAUUUGGAUGGACGCCCGAACACAACAGCGAGGCCAGCUUCAGUUCUCUGAAUCUUCAGUGAAGUGUCGUGAUUUGGAUGGAAUUGGAGACCGUGUCCUUCUCCAACAUAAGUCAAUUUCCAAUGUAAUCGAGUUCGAGUCUCUGUUCUUCUCGAAGGCAAAAGCAUGUAGUGCCCGACCCGGAUUGGACUUGGCUGUCAUAAGGAGGGUUCCUCGACCGGAACGUCCAUCAGGCCGCGUCCCUCGACCAGAAUCUCCAUCAAAUCCCAUCACAUUGCAACUUUCAGAGGAACAUCCAAUGUCGCUGGCGGAGGAAAAUCAUCCGUCCAGCGGUACUAUGCUGAGUUCGCCGGCGGAAGAACACCCGUCGAGCCCUCCAUCGCCUGAGGCGGCUACAACAGAGUGAUGGGAGGUAGAUUGAGCUGAUAAAUUUCUGCACCCACCUUGAGGUCCAUAACGUUCUCCUAAUUAUAUGCAGCCCAAUUCGUAUAGAUGUAUUUGUUUGAGGGAGAGGACUAUCUGUGAUCAGAAGCAACAGUAUGUGAUCAUCAUGUGUGCGAGAGAUGGCAGGAGUAUGUGAUAUGUAUUUCUGUGUACACUACUAAUAUUUAUUGACUGUUCAUGUUGGUACAGUAGGUUCAUGAUUGCUUAUGGAAACAAUAAAAUUACUUGAGGAGGAUUUUAUGAGUAUGUACUUUGAGACUUGAGAGGCUGUUAUUGACAUGGAUUCUCUGUCUACUAGAGAGGCUGAUGUCAAAUCAACAUUGGAACAAGGGAAAUAGAAGUGGAAUGAGAUGAAGUCCUAUUGAUACCUGUAAUUCAUUGAUUAACUCAAAACAAAUGAUACUAGACAUCAACUACUGCAAUUGAUCCAUGAAUAUUUGUUA